RNAcentral lists this transfer RNA (74 nucleotides) under Octopus bimaculoides (California two-spot octopus). Its description in RNAcentral is "transfer RNA isoleucine (anticodon AAU)". It matches the Rfam family "tRNA". Rfam says of the family: Transfer RNA (tRNA) molecules are approximately 80 nucleotides in length. Their secondary structure includes four short double-helical elements and three loops (D, anti-codon, and T loops). The record is from RNAcentral. Lineage: Eukaryota; Metazoa; Mollusca; Cephalopoda; Octopoda; Octopodidae.
GGCCGGUUAGCUCAGUUGGUUAGAGCGUCGUGCUAAUAACGCGAAUGUCGUGGGUUCGAACCCCAUACUGACCA